This 253-nucleotide ribosomal RNA is filed under the name uncultured bacterium. Its description in RNAcentral is "partial 16S ribosomal RNA". It matches the Rfam family "Bacterial small subunit ribosomal RNA", at positions 524 to 776 of the family's 1533-position model. The record is from RNAcentral.
UACAGAGGUCCCAAGCGUUGUUCGGAUUCACUGGGCGUAAAGGGUGCGUAGGCGGUCGGGUAAGUCUGAUGUGAAAUCUCACAGCUUAACUGUGAAACUGCAUUGGAUACUAUUCGGCUUGAGAGUUGAAGGGGGGACUGGAAUUCUUGGUGUAGCAGUGAAAUGCGUAGAUAUCAAGAGGAACACCAGUGGCGAAGGCGAGUCCCUGGACAACUUCUGACGCUGAGGCACGAAAGCUAGGGGAGCAAACAGG